AAAUCGGGAUUAUCCCUCAUAAUAUUUUUGAAAGGCAUCUUUUAAAAAUUAAAGUUUCGACGGUUAUUGAUGGGCAUGCGUGGCAUUAGUUUGUUGGUGAGGUAACGGCUCACCAAGACAUCGAUGCCUAGGGGGCCUGAGAGGGUGAUCCCCCACACUGGUACUGAGACACGGACCAGACUCCUACGGGAGGCAGCAGUAAGGAAUAUUGGGCAACGGACGAAAGUCUGACCCAGCCAUGCCGCGUGCAGGAUGACGGCCCUAGUGGUUGUAAACUGCUUUUAUACGGGAAGAAAAGUUCCAACGUGUUGGAAUGUGACUGUACCGUAUGAAUAAGCAUCGGCUAACUCCGUGCCAGCAGCCGCGGUAAUACGGAGGAUGCAAGCGUUAUCCGGAUUCAUUGGGUUUAAAGGGUGCGUAGGCGGAUUGGUAAGUCAGUGGUGAAAUCCUCUCGCUUAACGGGAGAAUUGCCGUUGAUACUAUCAAUCUUGAGUACACUUGAAGUGGGCGGAAUGUGUCAUGUAGCGGUGAAAUGCAUUAGAUAUGACACAGAACACCGAUUGCGAAGGCAGCCCACUAAAUUGUAACUUGACGCUGAGGCACGAAAGCGUGGGGAGCAAACAGGAUUAGAUACCCUGGUAGUCCACGCUGUAAACGAUGAUCACUAGCUGUUGGCGAUACACUGUCAGCGGCUGAGCGAAAGUAUUAAGUGAUCCACCUGGGGAGUACGAUCGCAAGGUUGAAACUCAAAGGAAUUGACGGGGGCCCGCACAAGCGGAGGAGCAUGUGGUUUAAUUCGAUGAUACGCGAGGAACCUCACCUAGGCUUAAAUGCUUUUUGACCGUCCUGGAAACAGGAUUUCCCUUCGGGGCAAAUUGCAAGGUGCUGCAUGGUUGUCGUCAGCUCGUGCCGUGAGGUGUCGGGUUAAGUCCCAUAACGAGCGCAACCCCUAUUCUUAGUUGCCAUCAGGUAAUGCUGGGAACUCUAAGGAAACUGCCUACGCAAGUAGUGAGGAAGGUGGGGAUGACGUCAAAUCAGCACGGCCCUUACGCCUAGGGCUACACACGUGCUACAAUGGCCAGCAUAGUGGGU
Molecule: ribosomal RNA, 1092 nt
Filed under: uncultured organism
Description: bacterial SSU rRNA
Rfam family: Bacterial small subunit ribosomal RNA
Source: RNAcentral